GGGAGGCAGCAGUGGGGAAUAUUGCACAAUGGGCGCAAGCCUGAUGCAGCGACGCCGCGUGAGGGAUGAAGGCCUUCGGGUUGUAAACCUCUUUCAGUAGGGAAGAAGCGAAAGUGACGGUACCUGCAGAAGAAGCGCCGGCUAACUACGUGCCAGCAGCCGCGGUAAUACGUAGGGCGCAAGCGUUAUCCGGAAUUAUUGGGCGUAAAGAGCUCGUAGGCGGUUUGUCGCGUCUGCCGUGAAAGUCCGGGGCUUAACUCCGGAUCUGCGGUGGGUACGGGCAGACUUGAGUGAUGUAGGGGAGACUGGAAUUCCUGGUGUAGCGGUGAAAUGCGCAGAUAUCAGGAGGAACACCGAUGGCGAAGGCAGGUCUCUGGGCAUUAACUGACGCUGAGGAGCGAAAGCAUGGGGAGCGAACAGGAUUAGAUACCCUGGUAGUCCAUGCCGUAAACGUUGGGCACUAGGUGUGGGGGACAUUCCACGUUUUCCGCGCCGUAGCUAACGCAUUAAGUGCCCCGCCUGGGGAGUACGGCCGCAAGGCUAAAACUCAAAGGAAUUGACGGGGGCCCGCACAAGCGGCGGAGCAUGCGGAUUAAUUCGAUGCAACGCGAAGAACCUUACCAAGGCUUGACAUGAACCGGAACGGCGCAGAGAUGUGUCGGCCACUUGUGGCCGGUUUACAGGUGGUGCAUGG
Molecule: ribosomal RNA, 694 nt
Filed under: Arthrobacter sp.
Lineage: Bacteria; Bacillati; Actinomycetota; Actinomycetes; Micrococcales; Micrococcaceae
Description: bacterial SSU rRNA
Rfam family: Bacterial small subunit ribosomal RNA
Source: RNAcentral